GGGGAUGUAGCUCAGUUGGCUAGAGUGCUUGACUGGCAGUCAAGAGGUCGUGGGUUCGAAUCCCAUCUUCUCCAC
Molecule: transfer RNA, 75 nt
Filed under: Aquimarina muelleri
Lineage: Bacteria; Pseudomonadati; Bacteroidota; Flavobacteriia; Flavobacteriales; Flavobacteriaceae
Also listed under: 1 other name
Description: tRNA-Ala
Rfam family: tRNA
About the family: Transfer RNA (tRNA) molecules are approximately 80 nucleotides in length. Their secondary structure includes four short double-helical elements and three loops (D, anti-codon, and T loops).
Source: RNAcentral